RNAcentral lists this ribosomal RNA (472 nucleotides) under uncultured bacterium. Its description in RNAcentral is "bacterial SSU rRNA". It matches the Rfam family "Bacterial small subunit ribosomal RNA", at positions 355 to 825 of the family's 1533-position model. The record is from RNAcentral.
UGGGGAAUUUUGGACAAUGGGCGCAAGCCUGAUCCAGCCAUACCGCGUGAGUGAAGAAGGCCUUCGGGUUGUAAAGCUCUUUCAGACGGAAAGAAACGGUUACGGCUAAUACCCGUGACUAAUGACGGUACCGUAAGAAGAAGCACCGGCUAACUACGUGCCAGCAGCCGCGGUAAUACGUAGGGUGCGAGCGUUAAUCGGAAUUACUGGGCGUAAAGCGUGCGCAGGCGGUUUGGUAAGACAGAUGUGAAAUCCCCGGGCUUAACCUGGGAACUGCCUUCAAAACUGGCGACCUGGACUCAAGCAGAGGCAAGUGGAAUUGCGAGUGUAGAGGUGAAAUUCGUAGAUAUUCGCAGGAACACCAGUGGCGAAGGCGACUUGCUGGGCUUGUAGUGACGCUGAGACGCGAAAGCGUGGGGAGCAAACAGGAUUAGAUACCCCAGUAGUCCCUGAGCGGGCUGGCAAGGCGCAU